RNAcentral lists this ribosomal RNA (1349 nucleotides) under metagenome. Its description in RNAcentral is "bacterial LSU rRNA". It matches the Rfam family "Bacterial large subunit ribosomal RNA", at positions 1596 to 2925 of the family's 2925-position model. The record is from RNAcentral.
GCUCCUAUGCUGCCGAGAAAAGCCUCUAGUGAGUGUUGUGGCGGCCCGUACCCUAAACCGACUCAGGUGGUCAGGUAGAGAAUACCAAGGCGAUCGGGUGAACUGUGGUUAAGGAACUCGGCAAAUUGCCCCCGUAACUUCGGGAGAAGGGGGACCUCUGCUGGUGAUGGGCUUUACGUUCUGAGCUGGUGGGGGUCGCAGUGGCCAGGGGGAAGCGACUGUUUACUAAAAACACAGGUCCGUGCGAAGUCGUAAGACGAUGUAUACGGACUGACGCCUGCCCGGUGCCGGAACGUUAAGGGGACCGCUUAGCCAACGCGAGUUGGCGAAGGUGAGAACUUAAGCGCCGGUAAACGGCGGUGGUAACUAUAACCAUCCUAAGGUAGCGAAAUUCCUUGUCGGGUAAGUUCCGACCUGCACGAAUGGCGUAACGACUUCCCCGCUGUCUCAACCACAGACCCGGCGAAAUUGCACUACGAGUAAAGAUGCUCGUUUCGCGCAGCAGGACGGAAAGACCCCGGGACCUUCACUACAGCUUGACAUUGGCGUUUGGAACGUCUUGUGUAGGAUAGGUGGGAGACUGGGAAGCUGUCACGCUAGUGAUGGUGGAGUCAUUGGUGAAAUACCACUCUGGUCGUUUUGAACGUCUAACUCUGGUCCGUGAUCCGGAUCGGGGACAGUGUCUGGUGGGUAGUUUAACUGGGGCGGUUGCCUCCUAAAGAGUAACGGAGGCGCCCAAAGGUUCCCUCAGCCUGGUUGGCAAUCAGGUGUUGAGUGUAAGUGCACAAGGGAGCUUGACUGUGAGACUGACAGGUCGAGCAGGAGCGAAAGCUGGGACUAGUGAUCCGGCAUCGGCGUGUGGAAGCGGUGUCGCUCAACGGCUAAAAGGUACCCCGGGGAUAACAGGCUGAUCUUCCCCAAGAGUCCAUAUCGACGGGAUGGUUUGGCACCUCGAUGUCGGCUCGUCGCAUCCUGGGGCUGGAGUAGGUCCCAAGGGUUGGGCUGUUCGCCCAUUAAAGCGGUACGCGAGCUGGGUUUAGAACGUCGCGAGACAGUUCGGUCCCUAUCCGCUGCGCGCGCAGGAGACUUGAGGGGGGCUGUCCCUAGUACGAGAGGACCGGGACGGACGAACCUCUGGUGUGCCAGUUGUACCGCCAGGUGCACGGCUGGUUGGCUACGUUCGGAAGGGAUAACCGCUGAAAGCAUCUAAGCGGGAAGCUCGCCUUGAGAUGAGGUCUCCCACCCCGUGAGGGGGUAAGGCUCCCGGUAGAUCACCGGGUUGAUAGGCCGGAGGUGGAAGCACGGUAACGUGUGGAGCUGACCGGUACUAAUAGGCCGAGGACUUGACC